RNAcentral lists this unclassified non-coding RNA (385 nucleotides) under uncultured Gemmatimonadota bacterium. RNAcentral describes it as "uncultured Gemmatimonadetes bacterium contains 16S-23S intergenic spacer region". The record is from RNAcentral. Lineage: Bacteria; Pseudomonadati; Gemmatimonadota.
UCCGGUUUGGCACCGGCAGUCCCCCGAGAGUCCUCAGCGCCUUGCGGCCUGUUAGCAACACGGGGCGGGGGUUGCGCUCGUUGCGGGACUUAACCCAACAUCUCACGACACGAGCUGACGACAGCCAUGCAGCACCUGUGCAUGGGCUCCGAAGAGAGGCCGGCGUUUCUGCCGGCUGUCCCAUGCAUGUCAAGCCUAGGUAAGGUUCUUCGCGUUGCUUCGAAUUAAGCCACAUGCUCCGCCGCUUGUGCGGGCCCCCGUCAAUUCCUUUGAGUUUCAGCCUUGCGGCCGUACUCCCCAGGCGGGGCACUUAAUGCGUUAGCUCCGACACCGAAUGCGUCUAUACACCCGGCAUCUAGUGCCCAUCGUUUACAGCGUGGACUAC